GACGAACGCUGGCGGCGUGCCUAAUACAUGCAAGUCGAACGCAGAGGAGAGGAGCUUGCUCUUCUUGCGUGAGUGGCGGACGGGUGAGUAACACGUGGAUAACCUACCUGGUAGCGGGGGAUAACUACGGGAAACGGUAGCUAAUACCGCAUAAUAUGUUGAACCGCAUGGUUCUAUAGUGAAAGACGCUUUUGCUGUACUAUCUAGAUGGAUUCCGGCCGCUUUAGCUGGUGGGUGAGUUAAGGGCAUACAAAGGGAACGAUCCGUAGCCGCCCUGAGAGGGUGAUCGCCCACACUGGAACUGGGCCACGGUCAAGACUCCUACGGGAGGCAGAAGAAGGGAACCUUCGGCAUUGGGGGAAAGCCUGCCGGAGAACGGCGCCGUGAGUGAGAAAGGUCUUCGGUUCGAAAAACUUGGUUUUUGGGAAGAACCAGAUUUGUAAUUAAAUGUGCACGUCGUGACGGUACCUAAUCAGAAAGCCACGGCUAACUACGUG
RNAcentral lists this ribosomal RNA (497 nucleotides) under uncultured bacterium. RNAcentral describes it as "partial 16S ribosomal RNA". It matches the Rfam family "Bacterial small subunit ribosomal RNA", at positions 28 to 507 of the family's 1533-position model. The record is from RNAcentral.